UAUCACCAUUUUCAUACAUAGGUGGCUGC
This 29-nucleotide small RNA is filed under the name Bombyx mori (domestic silkworm). RNAcentral describes it as "ovarian small RNA-23496". The record is from RNAcentral. Lineage: Eukaryota; Metazoa; Arthropoda; Insecta; Lepidoptera; Bombycidae.